Molecule: long non-coding RNA, 800 nt
Organism: Triticum urartu
Lineage: Eukaryota; Viridiplantae; Streptophyta; Magnoliopsida; Poales; Poaceae
Source: RefSeq, a predicted model, not a curated record
CCAGCCACAUCUUCUUUCUUCCCUCUCCUUCUUCAACCUCCCGCCUGCCCCAUCAAGCUGACCCGUUGCUCCUCUUCCCUUUUUCUACAGCAGCCACAGAUGCAGGCCCGUACGGCGCACCUGUGCAGAGUGUUCGACUGCACAGGGCCCCCAAAUUGACAGGGCCCCAAAUUUUCUAGAGCAUUGAUGACUAGUUUAGGUGUGGGUAAUCAACACAUCAGCAAAUACACGUUGGAACCUGGAACGAAAUAACUCCAAGGCGGAGGCCCAGUCUCACGCACGUCUCCUCCUCUUCUCUCUCCGUUCUCUUUCACUUCUAGCUCAAAUCCCUUUCUCUCCCCAUGGUCCAAUCACACCACCAAAGGUCUCGAUUCUAUUCCAUUCCAGUGGACCAAUUCCUUCGUAUUUCCCCCAAAACUAAUCUCUGUAUUCAAUGAGUUGUCCCAUUGUUGCUUGCUGCUGGUCCUGCGACCUGGGUGCAUUGAUCGGAGUUGGAGGUAUGCCACAAGCGCUAGGUUGCCGAUUAACCAAGACGAGGAACCGGAAGACCCUAGCCAUGUUGCCACCAAAUGGUGUUCCUUCCAAAUAAAUCAAAGGUUGUUUCAUCAAAUUUCGUUUCUAUAUUAAGUUUUAAUGCAUGAUAUUUGCAUCCUAUUUUUUUAUUUCUGAAAGUAUUCUAGUUCUAUAAUUACGAAUCUUGAGUCAAUUUAUGAAAAACCUAAGAAAAAAAAACGAAAUUCGACCUUGAAAAUGUGCUCUUGAUAAGUUUUUACCAAAAGGAUCAAAGUUUCUUGUGAAAA